This is a long non-coding RNA of Thalassophryne amazonica, 1471 nucleotides long. RefSeq lists it as uncharacterized. NCBI's taxonomy places the organism in Eukaryota, Metazoa, Chordata, Actinopteri, Batrachoidiformes, Batrachoididae. The transcript has 5 exons. The record is from RefSeq and is a predicted model, not a curated record.
AAGAGCAUAAACAAACAUUUGCCAUUUUCUCCAGGCCGGAGCUUCCCAAGUGAUCUUCACUAAUCCUUUGGAGAUUGUGAAGAUUCGCCUGCAGGUGGCAGGGGAGAUCACUACAGGACCUCGAGUCAGCGCACUAACCGUGAUCCGUGAUCUGGGCUUCCUUGGCCUUUAUAAGGGUGCUAAAGCAUGUUUCCUGAGAGACAUCCCUUUCUCAGCCAUUUAUUUUCCAGUGUAUGCCACACCAAGGCUCAGCUAGCUGACGAUCAAGGCAGACUGGGACCUUUGCAACUCCUCACUGCCGGCGCCAUUGCAGGUAUCCCUGCGGCCUCCCUUGUGACGCCUGCGGAUGUUGUCAAGACACGUCUGCAAGUAGCAGCCAGGGCAGGCCAGUCCACCUACUCAGGAGUCAUCAAUUGUUUCAGGAAGAUAUUGAAAGAGGAGGGUUUCCGCGCUUUGUGGAAGGGAGCAGGAGCUCGUAUGUGUCGGUCAUCUCCUCAGUUUGGUGUGACUGGUGACUUAUGAGCUCUUACAGAGAUGGUUCUACAUCGAUUUUGGAGGACAUCGUCCAGCUGGUUCCGAGCCAACACCCAAGACCCGCAUCUCAGAGCUUCCUCCGAUCAAUGUUGAGCACAUAGGAGGCUACCGUCUGGCAGCAGCUACCUUUGCUGGGGUGGAGAACAAGUUUGGGCUCCAUCUUCCAAAAUUCAAGUCAACUGGGGUAGUUUCAAUACACGACUCGGACCCACACCAUCCUAACAUCACCCUGAGCAAAUGUGGAACACACCCACCACCUCAGGCACCAUAGAAGUCUGAAUUGUCAUAUCAUACUGCUAUUCCCAUCCUCCUCUACUCGGGGCCAGACAUGCCAAUACAAAUAUGAAACACGCACAGGUAGAAAAUAUGAUACACUCCACAAAUAGGGACCAUUAACAUCAGAAAAGCACACCAGCAGGGUGGAGAUGUGCUGCACUGGCUCCCAGCCAUCUGUGGAGGUGGCGCGCUGGUUGCAACUGUCAAUGUAAAGCACCAGGCGUUGGCCACACCAGAGCGUUGCGUUGUCUGAGUCCCUGGUUUCUCUGUUCAUUGUUUUUCUUAAGUGUAUGUAGAAAAUGCACCUUUGAAUUUUGUCCAGUUUGCUGUUUGACUGGAGUGCAGGGGAUGUUUAGGUGGGUCAACGUGGUGCAUGGGGCUUUUCUCAUGUUUGUUCCUGACCCAAAGGCUACAUUGUGUAUAUAUUGUAUAAGUGUACUGAAACGUCACAGACACCACAACAUUCAAAAUGUCUGAAGUCAGUUCUACAGUCAUGGUCACUCUCGCAACAGUGUAAAGCACUUACUGAUGUACAGAACCUUUCAAACUGUUUUAUUGGUUAUCAAGAAUCAAGCAGAGAAUUAGUUAUUAAUAAAUUAAAUGUAUCUCAAUUCAGUCAUUGUAUUUUAUUGAAAUAAAUAAUCCAUAUGGUUUAAUUUUA